GUGGGGAAUCUUGCGCAAUGGGCGAAAGCCUGACGCAGCCAUGCCGCGUGAAUGAUGAAGGUCUUAGGAUUGUAAAAUUCUUUCACCGGGGACGAUAAUGACGGUACCCGGAGAAGAAGCCCCGGCUAACUUCGUGCCAGCAGCCGCGGUAAUACGAAGGGGGCUAGCGUUGCUCGGAAUUACUGGGCGUAAAGGGCGCGUAGGCGGACAGUUUAGUCAGAGGUGAAAGCCCAGGGCUCAACCUUGGAAUUGCCUUUGAUACUGGCUGUCUUGAGUACGGGAGAGGUGAGUGGAACUCCGAGUGUAGAGGUGAAAUUCGUAGAUAUUCGGAAGAACACCAGUGGCGAAGGCGACACACUGGCUCAUUACUGACGCUGAGGCGCGAAAGCGUGGGGAGCAAACAGGAUUAGAUACCCCGGUAGUCC
RNAcentral lists this ribosomal RNA (425 nucleotides) under uncultured bacterium. RNAcentral describes it as "partial 16S ribosomal RNA". It matches the Rfam family "Bacterial small subunit ribosomal RNA", at positions 354 to 796 of the family's 1533-position model. The record is from RNAcentral.